RNAcentral lists this ribosomal RNA (169 nucleotides) under Liangdongia dryadoides. Its description in RNAcentral is "Starmera dryadoides partial 18S ribosomal RNA". It matches the Rfam family "Eukaryotic small subunit ribosomal RNA", at positions 1484 to 1653 of the family's 1831-position model. The record is from RNAcentral. Lineage: Eukaryota; Fungi; Ascomycota; Saccharomycetes; Phaffomycetales; Wickerhamomycetaceae.
GGGCCGCACGCGCGCUACACUGACGGAGCCAGCGAGUCUUAACCUUAGUCGAGAGGCUUGGGUAAUCUUGUGAAACUCCGUCGUGCUGGGGAUAGAGCAUUGCAAUUAUUGCUCUUCAACGAGGAAUUCCUAGUAAGCGCAAGUCAUCAGCUUGCGUUGAUUACGUCCC